This 465-nucleotide ribosomal RNA is filed under the name Vreelandella stevensii. Its description in RNAcentral is "partial 16S ribosomal RNA". It matches the Rfam family "Bacterial small subunit ribosomal RNA", at positions 338 to 795 of the family's 1533-position model. The record is from RNAcentral. Lineage: Bacteria; Pseudomonadati; Pseudomonadota; Gammaproteobacteria; Oceanospirillales; Halomonadaceae.
CCUACGGGUGGCAGCAGUGGGGAAUAUUGGACAAUGGGGGGAACCCUGAUCCAGCCAUGCCGCGUGUGUGAAGAAGGCCCUCGGGUUGUAAAGCACUUUCAGUGAGGAAGAACGCCUGGUGGUUAAUACCCAUCAGGAAAGACAUCACUCACAGAAGAAGCACCGGCUAACUCCGUGCCAGCAGCCGCGGUAAUACGGAGGGUGCGAGCGUUAAUCGGAAUUACUGGGCGUAAAGCGCGCGUAGGUGGCUUGAUAAGCCGGUUGUGAAAGCCCCGGGCUCAACCUGGGAACGGCAUCCGGAACUGUCAAGCUAGAGUGCAGGAGAGGAAGGUAGAAUUCCCGGUGUAGCGGUGAAAUGCGUAGAGAUCGGGAGGAAUACCAGUGGCGAAGGCGGCCUUCUGGACUGACACUGACACUGAGGUGCGAAAGCGUGGGUAGCAAACAGGUUUAGAUACCCUUGUAGUC